Molecule: long non-coding RNA, 287 nt
Organism: Trichechus manatus latirostris (Florida manatee)
Lineage: Eukaryota; Metazoa; Chordata; Mammalia; Sirenia; Trichechidae
Exons: 2
Source: RefSeq, a predicted model, not a curated record
CGUUUCUGCGGAGGGAUCUUUGUGGGGGCGGUGGCCAGCGAUGACUAUAUAAGAAAGCGUCGGCACUGUCGCAGCGAGAUUCGUCGAGGCCGGUGUCUGGUUUUGCUGCUGUGUGUUCGCUGCUGCCACCACCACUUGACAAUGCAGAUCUUUGUGAAAACCUUAACGGGUAAAACCAUCACCCUUGAGGUGGAGCCCAGUGACACCAUUGAGAACGUCAAGGCAAAGAUCCAAGACAAGGAAGGCAUCCCUCCUGACCAGCAGAGGUUGAUCUUUGCUGGGAAACA